CCCUACGGGGCGCAGCAGUGGGGAAUAUUGCACAAUGGGGGAAACCCUGAUGCAGCGACGCCGCGUGAAGGAAGAAGUAUUUCGGUAUGUAAACUUCUAUCAGCAGGGAAGAAAGUGACGGUACCUGACUAAGAAGCCCCGGCUAACUACGUGCCAGCAGCCGCGGUAAUACGUAGGUGGCGAGCGUUAUCCGGAAUGAUUGGGCGUAAAGGGUGCGCAGGCGGUCCUGCAAGUCUGGAGUGAAACGCAUGAGCUCAACUCAUGCAUGGCUUUGGAAACUGGAGGACUGGAGAGCAGGAGAGGGG
Molecule: ribosomal RNA, 305 nt
Filed under: uncultured bacterium
Lineage: Bacteria
Description: bacterial SSU rRNA
Rfam family: Bacterial small subunit ribosomal RNA
Source: RNAcentral